RNAcentral lists this ribosomal RNA (443 nucleotides) under uncultured bacterium. RNAcentral describes it as "partial 16S ribosomal RNA". It matches the Rfam family "Bacterial small subunit ribosomal RNA", at positions 338 to 795 of the family's 1533-position model. The record is from RNAcentral.
CCUACGGGUGGCAGCAGUGGGGAAUAUUGGGCAAUGGAGGCAACUCUGACCCAGCAACGCCGCGUGAAUGAUGAAGGUCUUCGGAUUGUAAAGUUCUUUUCUAAGGGAAGUAGAAAGUGACGGUACCUUAGGAAUAAGCCUCGGCUAACUACGUGCCAGGAGCCGCGGUAAUACGGAGGAGGCAAGCGUUAUCCGGAAUGACUGGGCGUAAAGGGUGCGUAGGUGGUUUGACAAGUUGGUAGCGUAACUCCGGGGCUCAACUUCGGAACUACUACCAAAACUGUUGGACUCGAGUGCAGGAGGGGCAACUGGAAUUUCUAGUGUAGCGGUGGAAUGCGUAGAUAUUAGGAAGAACACCGGUGGCGAAGGCGAGUUGCUGGACUGUAACUGACACUGAGGCACGAAAGCGUGGGGAGCAAACAGGAUUAGAUACCCCUGUAGUC